UAGGUAGGUGGUCUCAUUUGUCUAGGGUGAAAGCCUUGAGCUUAACUCAAGAAGUGCCCUAGAAACGGUGAGACUGGAGUCCUGGAGAGGGUCGUGGAAUUCCCGGUGUAGCGGUGAAAUGCGUAGAGAUCGGGAGGAACACCAGAGGCGAAGGCGGCGACCUGGACAGGUACUGACACUCAACUACGAAAGCGUGGGGAGCAAACAGGAUUAGAUACCCUGGUAGUCCACGCUGUAAACGAUGGGUACUAGGUUUGGUGGGUCUUGACCCCGCCGAACCGGCGCUAACGCACUAAGUACCCCGCCUGGGAAGUACGGUCGCAAGACUAAA
This 331-nucleotide ribosomal RNA is filed under the name uncultured bacterium. RNAcentral's name for it is "bacterial SSU rRNA". It matches the Rfam family "Bacterial small subunit ribosomal RNA", at positions 568 to 898 of the family's 1533-position model. The record is from RNAcentral.